Molecule: long non-coding RNA, 670 nt
Organism: Scatophagus argus
Lineage: Eukaryota; Metazoa; Chordata; Actinopteri; Scatophagidae
Exons: 3
Source: RefSeq, a predicted model, not a curated record
GAAAUUCAACACAUUUUUCUGGGCUAAAAGCGUUUGUUUUGUUUUGUUUUUUAAACCCCCACUUUACAAGCAUUGCUAUGGUCUAUUAUUUACGUACGCAAACAACGCACUUGCAACGCGGCGGUUUGUUUAAAUCACCCAAACAACAUGAAGAGGCCGGCGCGCUGUCGGACAGCUUUGGAAGGGGGAAUAAGUGAACUACGUUUGAGUGGGCACAUACUUGCUUUUACAACUGGAAACUUUUCUUGGGACUGUGGAAAUCCUUGGCGCAACUCUGGCAAUAACUUGAGGAUAAGCUGCUUCUUCUCUUCGGCACGUUGUACAGGGGGCUCUGCUUCAUGGCUUCUAUGGCACUGCGACACUCGCCCUGCGCCUCCAGACCGGUGACCGCGCUGAAGUUGCUCUCCCUUCCCGCCACGCACUGCCUCAUCGUCCGGUACUUGGUGCUGCAGCUGUACUCCUUCAGACAUUGUUCACUGGCUUUUACGCAGUCCAGGCGGACGGCCCGGGAGGUCGGGCUGCUGUCACCCCGCAAGCAGGUGGAAAGACAAAAAAAAAAGAAAGAAACGGCGUUUGAUCCGGACUCCUCCGCUGUGAUGAUGACAAACUGAGAGGGAGACGCAACGCGCGAGGACGUGACGUCAUGCGACUACGCGCACAACAACCCCUA